RNAcentral lists this ribosomal RNA (422 nucleotides) under uncultured bacterium. Its description in RNAcentral is "bacterial SSU rRNA". It matches the Rfam family "Bacterial small subunit ribosomal RNA", at positions 355 to 776 of the family's 1533-position model. The record is from RNAcentral.
UCGAGAAUAUUCCACAAUGGGGGAAACCCUGAUGGAGCGACGCCGCGUGCAGGAAGAAGGUCUUCGGAUUGUAAACUGUUUUUCUAUGGGAAUAAGCUCCGACGAAAGUCGGAGUUGAAGGUACCGUAGAAAUUAGGGGUGACUAACUACGUGCCAGCAGUAGCGGUAAUACGUAGACCCCGAGUGUUAUCCGGAUUUAUUGGGCGUAAAGAGUGCGUAGGAGGUUCGAUGCGUUAACUGUUAAAUUUCACUGCUUAACAGUGAAGCUGCGGUUAAAACGGUCAAACUAGAGGAUGUCAGAGGUCAUUGGAACGUACGGUGUAGGGGUGAAAUCCGUUGAUAUCGUACGGAACACCAAAGGCGAAGGCAAAUGACUGGGGCAUUCCUGACUCUGAGGCACGAAAGCGUGGGGAGCAAAAAGG